RNAcentral lists this ribosomal RNA (497 nucleotides) under uncultured bacterium. Its description in RNAcentral is "partial 16S ribosomal RNA". It matches the Rfam family "Bacterial small subunit ribosomal RNA", at positions 28 to 507 of the family's 1533-position model. The record is from RNAcentral.
GACGAACGCUGGCGGCGUGCCUAAUACAUGCAAGUCGAACGCUGAAGAGAGGAGCUUGCUCUUCUUGGAUGAGUUGCGAACGGGUGAGUAACGCGUAGGUAACCUGCCUUGUAGCGGGGGAUAACUUUGGGAAACGAUAGCUAAUACCGCAUAACAAUGGAUGUCACAUGUUAUUUAUUUGAAAGGGGCAAUUGCUCCACUACAAGAUGGACCUGCGUUGUAUUAGCUAGUAGGUGAGGUAAUGGCUCACCUAGGCGACGAUACAUAGCCGACCUGAGAGGGUGAACGGCCACACUGGGACUGAGACACGGCCCAGACUCCUACGGGAGGCAGCAGUAGGGAAUCGUCGGCAAUGGGGGGAAGCCUGACCGAGCAACGCCGCGUGAGUGAAGAAGGUUUUCGGAUCGUAAAGCUCUGUUGUUAGUGAAGAAAGGGUGUGAGAGUGAAAAGUUCACACUGUGACGGUAGCUUAACAGAAAGCGACGGCUAACUACGUG